GUGAUAUGGNGCAAAACCCUAAAAAACCGGUACUCAGUUCGGAUUGAAGGCUGAAAUUCGCCUUCCAUGAAGCUGGAAUUGCUAGUAAUGGCAGGUCAGCAUACUGCCGUGAAUACGUUCCCGGGCCUUGUACACACCGCCCGUCACACCAUGAGAGUUGGGAAUACCCGAAGCCUGUGAGCUAACUGUAAGGAGGCAGCAGUCGAAGGUAGAAUCAAUGAUUGGGGUGAAGUCGUAACAAGGUAAC
This 247-nucleotide ribosomal RNA is filed under the name uncultured bacterium. RNAcentral's name for it is "partial 16S ribosomal RNA". It matches the Rfam family "Bacterial small subunit ribosomal RNA", at positions 1257 to 1500 of the family's 1533-position model. The record is from RNAcentral.